GUUGAAACACUGGUUCUCGUACGAUCACCGAAGUUGAUCAACGUCGAUCCCGGUCAGUACCUAGAUCGGUGAUCGCUUGGGAAUAUAAGGUGCUGUAA
Non-coding RNA from Acanthosepion pharaonis, 98 nucleotides. The record is from the annotation of a GenBank genome assembly. Lineage: Eukaryota; Metazoa; Mollusca; Cephalopoda; Sepiida; Sepiidae.